GCCACCGUCGCAUAACCUGGUAGUGCGCAGGUCUUGAAAACCUGUUCCUUCGGGAAUUCCCAGUUCAAACGGUCAGUAACAGAGCAUUACGCCUGAAUGUCUGGGCGGUGGCG
This 113-nucleotide transfer RNA is filed under the name Nanobdellota archaeon. Its description in RNAcentral is "tRNA-Ser". The record is from RNAcentral. Lineage: Archaea; Nanobdellati; Nanobdellota.